RNAcentral lists this ribosomal RNA (249 nucleotides) under uncultured Actinomycetales bacterium. RNAcentral describes it as "partial 16S ribosomal RNA". It matches the Rfam family "Bacterial small subunit ribosomal RNA", at positions 101 to 334 of the family's 1533-position model. The record is from RNAcentral. Lineage: Bacteria; Bacillati; Actinomycetota; Actinomycetes; Actinomycetales.
UGGGGUGCUCGAGUGGCAACGGGUGAGUAACACGUGAGUAACCUGCCCUUGACUUUGGGAUAACUUCAGGAAACUGGGGCUAAUACCGGAUAGGAGCUCCUGCUGCAUGGUGGGGGUUGGAAAGUUUCGGCGGUUGGGGAUGGACUCGCGGCUUAUCAGCUUGUUGGUGGGGUAGUGGCUUACCAAGGCUUUGACGGGUAGCCGGCCUGAGAGGGUGACCGGUCACAUUGGGACUGAGAUACGGCCCAG